ACUGAACGCUGGCGGCAUGCUUUACACAUGCAAGUCGAACGGUAACAGGCCGCAAGGUGCUGACGAGUGGCGAACGGGUGAGUAAUGCAUCGGAACGUGCCCAGUCGUGGGGGAUAACUACUCGAAAGAGUAGCUAAUACCGCAUACGAUCUAUGGAUGAAAGCGGGGGACCGUAAGGCCUCGCGCGAUUGGAGCGGCCGAUGUCAGAUUAGGUAGUUGGUGGGGUAAAGGCUCACCAAGCCAACGAUCUGUAGCUGGUCUGAGAGGACGACCAGCCACACUGGGACUGAGACACGGCCCAGACUCCUACGGGAGGCAGCAGUGGGGAAUUUUGGACAAUGGGCGCAAGCCUGAUCCAGCAAUGCCGCGUGCAGGAAGAAGGCCUUCGGGUUGUAAACUGCUUCUGUACGGAACGAAACGGCUCUGGUUAAUACCCGGGGCUAAUGACGGUACCGUAAGAAUAAGCACCGGCUAACUACGUG
RNAcentral lists this ribosomal RNA (482 nucleotides) under uncultured bacterium. RNAcentral describes it as "partial 16S ribosomal RNA". It matches the Rfam family "Bacterial small subunit ribosomal RNA", at positions 30 to 507 of the family's 1533-position model. The record is from RNAcentral.